RNAcentral lists this transfer RNA (75 nucleotides) under Asaccus sp. TG-2012. RNAcentral describes it as "tRNA-Asn". Lineage: Eukaryota; Metazoa; Chordata; Lepidosauria; Squamata; Phyllodactylidae. The record is from RNAcentral.
UAGGCUGAAGCCCGCUGGAUUGGGCGACUAGUUGUUAAUUAGUAUUUUUAUGGGAUCAAGGCCCAUUAGUCUAUU